UCUGCCCUGUGAGGAUGCAGCAAGAAAACCCUCACCAGAUGCCAGUGCCUUGAUCUUGGACUUCCCAGCCCCCAGAGCUGACUAGAUCGCUAGCUGGCCCUUUGAUUUAACUCUUCAUCUACCAUAGUCAGGUGCCACAGCUUGAUGAACGAGAUAGAAUCGCACAAUGGGAUCAAAGGGACAGCCAGCCCAGUUUAUUUCCAGAGGAAAAGCUUACCAGGACACAAAGGAGGAAAAAAGACUCGGCUUGAAACCAAUUCUUCCCUGAAGUACAAAUCACCCUGCAGCAAAAAAAAAUGUUUGUGAAGCUAAGAGCUGUCCAGAUAAGAGAAAAGGUCAUGAUCUCCCUCCUGCGUGUUCAUCAGCCAACGAACAACAAUCUGAAAGUAAGAGGAUGUCUGUCAAUAUGGAGUGGGCAGGCAGCAGCGUGCCAUCAAAUUGAAGGCAGUGAAUGCUCACACAGUUGUACUGGGCUCCAACCUUAACCAAAAAUCAAUAAUCA
This 502-nucleotide long non-coding RNA is filed under the name Homo sapiens (human). RNAcentral describes it as "HSALNT0220444". The record is from RNAcentral. Lineage: Eukaryota; Metazoa; Chordata; Mammalia; Primates; Hominidae.